RNAcentral lists this ribosomal RNA (1484 nucleotides) under uncultured bacterium. RNAcentral describes it as "bacterial SSU rRNA". It matches the Rfam family "Bacterial small subunit ribosomal RNA". The record is from RNAcentral.
AUUAAACGCUGGCGGCAUGCCUUACACAUGCAAGUCGAACGGCAGCACGGGGGCAACCCUGGUGGCGAGUGGCGAACGGGUGAGUAAAGCAUCGGAACGUGCCCUGGAGUGGGGGAUAACGUAGCGAAAGUUACGCUAAUACCGCAUAUUCUGUGAGCAGGAAAGCAGGGGAUCGCAAGACCUUGCGCUCUGGGAGCGGCCGAUGUCGGAUUGGCUAGUUGGUGGGGUAAAGGCCUACCAAGGCGACGAUCCGUAGCGGGUCUGAGAGGAUGAUCCGCCACACUGGGACUGAGACACGGCCCAGACUCCUACGGGAGGCAGCAGUGGGGAAUUUUGGACAAUGGGCGAAAGCCUGAUCCAGCCAUGCCGCGUGAGUGAAGAAGGCCUUCGGGUUGUAAAGCUCUUUCGGUGGGGAAGAAAUUGCAUGGGCUAAUACCCUGUGUAGAUGACGGUACCUGGAGAAGAAGCACCGGCUAACUACGUGCCAGCAGCCGCGGUAAUACGUAGGGUGCGAGCGUUAAUCGGAAUUACUGGGCGUAAAGCGUGCGCAGGCGGUUUGGUAAGUCAGAUGUGAAAUCCCCGGGCUCAACCUGGGAACUGCAUUUGAGACUGCCAAGCUGGAGUUUGGCAGAGGGGGGUGGAAUUCCACGUGUAGCAGUGAAAUGCGUAGAGAUGUGGAGGAACACCGAUGGCGAAGGCAGCCCCCUGGGCAAUACUGACGCUCAUGCACGAAAGCGUGGGGAGCAAACAAGAUUAGAUACCCUGGUAGUCCACGCCCUAAACGAUGUCAACUAGGUGUUGGGAGGGUUAAACCUUUUAGUGCCGUAGCUAACGCGUGAAGUUGACCGCCUGGGGAGUACGGCCGCAAGGCUAAAACUCAAAGGAAUUGACGGGGACCCGCACAAGCGGUGGAUGAUGUGGAUUAAUUCGAUGCAACGCGAAAAACCUUACCUACCCUUGACAUGUCAGGAAUCCCGGAGAGAUUUGGGAGUGCUCGAAAGAGAGCCUGAACACAGGUGCUGCAUGGCUGUCGUCAGCUCGUGUCGUGAGAUGUUGGGUUAAGUCCCGCAACGAGCGCAACCCUUGCCAUUAGUUGCUACGAAAGGGCACUCUAAUGGGACUGCCGGUGACAAACCGGAGGAAGGUGGGGAUGACGUCAAGUCCUCAUGGCCCUUAUGGGUAGGGCUUCACACGUCAUACAAUGGUCGGUACAGAGGGUUGCCAACCCGCGAGGGGGAGCCAAUCCCACAAAGCCGAUCGUAGUCCGGAUCGCAGUCUGCAACUCGACUGCGUGAAGUCGGAAUCGCUAGUAAUCGCGGAUCAGCAUGUCGCGGUGAAUACGUUCCCGGGCCUUGUACACACCGCCCGUCACACCAUGGGAGUAGGUUGCUCCAGAAGUAGUUAGCCUAACCGCAAGGGGGGCGAUUACCACGGAGUGAUCCAUGACUGGGGUGAAGUCGUAACAAGGUAGCCGUAUCGGAAGG